GGGCAAUUAGCUCAGUUGGUAGAGCGUUCGCUUUGCAUUAUUCCAGCAUGCGAAAGGUCGUGAUUUCGAUUAUCACAUUGUCCA
Molecule: transfer RNA, 84 nt
Rfam family: tRNA
About the family: Transfer RNA (tRNA) molecules are approximately 80 nucleotides in length.
Source: Rfam